GCGAGAUGCCGGAACUCACGUGGUACGUUCAGGUCGGGUCCCGGCUUCGCGCGAGCCAACGAGGUCCACGAUGACAGGCUUGCUACUCUCCGGUCGUCGUUAGGCAUGCGCGACAGACAUUCGUAUCAACUAAGAACACAAAUUGAAGGCUUACGAUUUCUCACUGGUUUGCGUUCUUGCCGAGGCUUGGGCUGCCUGCGGACUGGCCUCCUUCGUUCCGCUUCUCCCCACUCCCAAAGUUUAAGGGCGGCGUCAGCUUACUGUUGGCAGGUCCCUGGGCAAACAGUGUGUGAGAUGGGACGGACGUCAAAGGACAAGCGGGAUGUCUACUACCGCCUAGCCAAGGAGAAUGGCUGGCGUGCCCGCAGUGCCUUCAAGCUGCUACAACUUGACGAGGAAUUCCAACUCUUCCAAGGCGUGACUCGGGCAGUUGACCUGUGCGCGGCCCCAGGCAGCUGGAGCCAGGUGCUGAGCCAGAAGAUUGGGGGCCAGGGGUCAGGCCAUGUGGUGGCUGUGGACCUUCAGGCUAUGGCUCCACUACCAGGUGUGUUACAGAUCCAGGGGGAUAUCACCCAGCUGUCCACUGCCAAGGAGAUCAUCCAGCACUUUGAGGGCUGCCCCGCGGACCUAGUGGUGUGCGACGGGGCUCCUGAUGUAACCGGCCUCCAUGAUGUUGAUGAGUAUAUGCAGGCCCAGCUCCUCCUAGCCGCUCUGAACAUUGCUACACACGUCUUGAAGCCAGGGGGCUGCUUUGUGGCCAAGAUCUUCCGAGGCCGGGACGUGACACUCAUCUACAGCCAGCUGCGUGUCUUCUUCUCUAGCGUGCUCUGUGCCAAGCCUAGGAGCAGCCGGAACUCCAGCAUUGAGGCCUUUGCUGUCUGUAAGGGUUAUGACCCCCCUGAGGGCUUCCUGCCGGACCUGACCAAACCCCUGCUGGACCACUCUUACGAUCCAGAUUUCAACCAAUUAGAUGGUCCCACCCGCAUCAUUGUGCCAUUUGUGACCUGCGGGGACCUGAGCGCUUAUGACUCGGACCGCAGUUACCCACUGGAUCUAGAGGACGGCUCAGAAUACAAGUACACUCCGCCCACGCAGCCCCCCAUCUCACCACCAUACCAGGAGGCCUGCACGUUGAAGAAGAAGGGGCAGCUGGCCAAGGAGAUCCGCCCCCAGGACUGCCCUAUCAGCACGGGGGACACGUUGCCCCAGUCCCUGGCCGCCCCACAGCACCACACCCUGGUGGCCUCUGAGGUCUGGAAACAUGGGCCCACAGCCCUCAAUGCCCUUUCUCUGUGCCCAGAGUGACCCCCCCUCCUCAUGUGCCUCUUUCUGCCCCAAAUCACAUGGUUUCUGGGACAAACUUCUCUUCCCUGCUUCCCAAUAGCUAUAAGAAUCAAUAGGUAAAACCAGGUAUAGUGAACGGAAAAGCUUAGCCAAUUACCUCAGUCCCUUUUUUUUUCCCUUGGGUAGGUGGAAGACAAUGAAAUGAACUGUUCAGCUUAACAUGUUAAGUUAGCUGGCAAUCUGAUAAGGACUCGGAAGCUGUUUGCUGUCAGGAAAACCAGAACUUGAGUUGAUGAACUUGUUUUGAAAUAUCUCAUCAACCAGUCCUGAACAUACAAGCUCUGAGUGGGAACCUGCAGCAACCACCACGAACACAGCAAGGAAAGAAACAUCACAGAGUGUUCAUCUGCACUGCAGAGGGGAUUCUUGAGUGGGGUCUUGCCUCUUCUCUAAGUCUUUCCAGCGGUGUCCUGAUUAUGUCCAGAAUUUACCCUGAAAGCAGGGGUUCUUAACCUGGGUAGAAGUCAGGGGCAUCUGUGAACUUGAUGGAAGGACAUGGUACAUCUUUAUUUUCACUAAUGUAACUGAAAUUUUAGCUUUACUCCCAAAUCUGAAUGCCGGCAGCAGAUCACAAUAGUAAAAGCAGUGUCUGCAACUUCCACCAAUACAGAUCACAGUUACUUUUUUAUGUUAUGUUACAAUUGUUGCUGGCAUCUUAGAAUAUUGUUCACAUUGGUCACUACUUUGAAUAAGAUCUUUUAAUUUGAUGUACUAAUAAACAAUGUUCAUACAUUA
RNA transcript from Hippopotamus amphibius kiboko, 2079 nucleotides. It is a transcript of the gene named FtsJ RNA 2'-O-methyltransferase 1, with no coding region annotated. NCBI's taxonomy places the organism in Eukaryota, Metazoa, Chordata, Mammalia, Artiodactyla, Hippopotamidae. The record is from RefSeq and is a predicted model, not a curated record. The transcript has 12 exons.